CAACCCUUGUCCUUAGUUACCAGCACGUUAUGGUGGGCACUCUAAGGAGACUGCCGGUGACAAACCGGAGGAAGGUGGGGAGUGACGUCAAGUCAUCAUGGCCCUUACGGCCUGGGCUACACACGUGCUACAAUGGUCGGUACAAAGGGUUGCCAAGCCGCGAGGUGGAGCUAAUCCCAUAAAACCGAUCGUAGUCCGGAUCGCAGUCUGCAACUCGACUGCGUGAAGUCGGAAUCGCUAGUAAUCGUGAAUCAGAAUGUCACGGUGAAUACGUUCCCGGGCCUU
This 285-nucleotide ribosomal RNA is filed under the name uncultured Pseudomonas sp. Its description in RNAcentral is "partial 16S ribosomal RNA". It matches the Rfam family "Bacterial small subunit ribosomal RNA", at positions 1099 to 1382 of the family's 1533-position model. Lineage: Bacteria; Pseudomonadati; Pseudomonadota; Gammaproteobacteria; Pseudomonadales; Pseudomonadaceae. The record is from RNAcentral.